RNAcentral lists this ribosomal RNA (219 nucleotides) under uncultured bacterium. RNAcentral's name for it is "partial 16S ribosomal RNA". It matches the Rfam family "Bacterial small subunit ribosomal RNA", at positions 1283 to 1500 of the family's 1533-position model. The record is from RNAcentral.
UGUUCUCAGUUCGGACUGCAGUCUGCAACUCGACUGCACGAAGCUGGAAUCGCUAGUAAUCGCGGAUCAGCACGCCGCGGUGAAUACGUUCCCGGGCCUUGUACACACCGCCCGUCCACACCAUGGAAGUCGAUAACACCCGAAGCCUGUGAGCUAACCGCAAGGGGGCAGCAGUCGAAGGUGGGGUUGAUGAUUGGGGUGAAGUCGUAACAAGGUAGC